GAGAGGGAGGGUGCUUGAGCACUGUUGACUUGUCUGGUCCCUGCUGAAGUGUCAUUUGAACGUUUGGCAGGAGACACACCUCCACUUGCUCCACACACACAACGCUCACUGAACGUCACACACAGCAGAUCAAACUCCACUCCAGCGGACUACUUCGACAGGACAUGUGCUUAUCUUCCCUUCUCUUUGUGAUUUGGAGAGCUUUUUUACUGUAUUUGUUUUAAUGGGAACUUUCUUUUAAUGCUUCACAUCUGCUGUUCAGCUGUGUGGACCUUGAGAAACUUCCAAGCUGUUGGAUAUGAUUGUUUUUAGGAUAACCGAGGGAGAGGUGAAAAGGAGUCAUUGAUGGUGUUGUUCAAGAUUUGGACAUACGGUGGUAUAAAAUGCAAGUUUAAAUCCAUUGUAUUUCAGUCAGCACUAUAAAAAACGACGAGUCUUAAGUUAACAGACGUGUCUUGUACUUACAGAAGUUAUGCGUCUCUUAGCUGUUGCUUGUUUCUCCUUUUCCAACUGACAAACUCACCUUGACUUGGGCACAUUUAAAAAACGCAAAAUGAGCUCAAACAGCACCAUAUGUCCUAACGGGACACAAGCCAUUGAACAACAAGGAUUCAAAACUCUGGUGCUGGUUGUCAUGGUGAUCAUCAUUAUCGUCAUGGGUAACCUUCUGGUCAUCAUCGCAAUAGCUCGCACCUCACAGCUGCAGACUACGACAAACAUCUUCAUCAUGUCUUUGGCAUGUGCUGACCUCAUCAUGGGGGUACUGGUGGUGCCGAUGGGUGCCACGAUUGUCAUAACGGGUAAAUGGCAGCUCGAUCAUACUAUGUGCGAGUUAUGGACAUCAGUGGACGUGUUAUGUGUUACUGCCAGCAUAGAGACCCUAUGUGUAAUUGCGGUGGAUCGGUUUAUCGCCAUCGCGCGCCCGCUGCGAUACAAAGUGCUUCUGAAUAAGUGCAGGGCUCGAUUUAUCGUGUGUGUCGUGUGGGGGGUCUCUGCUCUGAUCUCCUUCGUGCCCAUCAUGAACCAGUACUCGAGGGCAAUGGAAGACAAGGAAGCAUAUUGUUGUUACAUUGACGAAAACUGCUGUGACUUUGUAACAAACAAGCCCUACGCAAUUAUAUCCUCCAUCGUUUCAUUCUACGUCCCACUACUCGUCAUGAUAUUCGUCUACGCUCGGGUCUUCCUCAUUGCCACGCGACAGGUACAGUUAAUUGACAAGAACCGCCUGAGGUUCCAAAAUGAAUGCAUGGGCAAUCAGGCACAACCAUCGCUGCAAGGCAACAACAACCUCCCGUCGUGUAACAACGGUGGGGGCUCGGCGUCCAUGCGCAAGGGUUCUCGCAGACGAUCCUCGAGACUCACCGUCGUCAAAGAGCACAAGGCUCUAAAGACUCUGGGCAUCAUCAUGGGGAUCUUCACACUUUGUUGGCUGCCCUUUUUCGUGGCGAACAUCAUCAAAGUGUUUAAUCGAGAUGUGCCAACGAAGGAGAUUUUUCGCUGGUUAAACUGGCUGGGCUACAUUAACUCAGGCCUGAACCCCAUCAUCUACUGUCGGAGCCCCGAGUUUCGUGCGGCCUUUAAAAAUAUUCUUGGCUGUCCCUGGAUAUCCUUGCUGAGAAUGAACAUCCUCUACAAGGAGCUUCGGACUCGGUGCCCCUGCUUUUUGGGGUCUGCAGAGCGGGGAAUGGCGGAAUCUUUCCAUAAGCCCCCCACGUUGACAGGGACACUGUCUGGGGAUGGAAGCAUGGGGAGCAGUCAAAGCAGCUGCAGGAGCGAGGAGACGUCGCCGGGACCCCCUCACUCCAAUGGCAGCACGUACUUCAGUGAAACAGAGGCAGAGUUGGGGAUAAAGCUCCAGGUUGAGCAGGGCUGUGUUGAAGUCUUCUCGGAUUGCAGAGGGACUUAACUUGUUCAACAUUUCACGUAAAAAUGAAUUAGCAGUCAUGGUACGACUCUUUGGAACGUAAAAGGGACUUUCAUUCAGCUGUAACCUACAAGAGCAGGAUGCCUGAGCUCAUCAAAAAUGGUUGAAAGAAGCUGAGGAGGAUAUGAAGACCUCGGUCACAGUUGGCUGACCUUCCCCAGCAGGGACCACAAGGGACCAGAGAAAUACCCAAUAAAGCAAUAAGGGGAGCCUCCUCUAAAAAAUGACAGAAAGAUCAGAAGGAGGCAAACUACAAACAAGCGCUGGCCCAAGAGAAAGAGCCUGAACUGGUACUGCUUACUAGGAAUAAUGGAGUGAUCCGUACUGGUUACAUUCCAUUAAGGCGAGGAGUACAGGCGUUGGCCUUGGUUGGUCCAGUCUGUAUGGCAAACAAUGAAUCCAACCUGUAGGACUUAAUUUUGAAAGACUUUGUUAGUUUAUGCACACAUAUGUUGUUGAUGAUUUCAAAUAUAGGAAUUAGACAGAUUUUGUACAAUAUAUUAAAUUAUUUUCUAUUUAUUUUACUCCCCACAUUUUAGCUGUGAAUGUACGAAAAUCUUACCACAUUAACAUAUCUGUGUUUUUUCAAAUACCAUUGUUCAUUUAAAAAGGAAAGUUCUCCCCGAGAUGAAAAUUCUGUCAUCAUUUAUCCACCCUCUCAUAAUUUCAAACCUGUAUUACUUUCUUUCUUCUGCAAAGCACAAAAGAAGAUAUUUUGAAGAAUGUUAUUAAACAGAAACCGUUGGUCCUAAUUCACUUCUAUUGAAUGGGACCAACGUUUUUUGUUACCAACAUUCUUCAAAAUAUCUUACUUUCUUAAUAAGAAUAGAAGUCAUACAGGUUUGAAAUGACAUGAGUGUGAGUAAACGAUAACAGAAUUUUCAUUUUGGGGUGAACUAUCACUUUAAGCAGUCUAUCAACCGUCUAUCAACAGUAUAAGCUACAAGACUUCUGGGUCACCCCGUCGAUACUGCAAAGAGGUAUGACAAAAUUUGAAAGCUCUUGAGAGCACUGUGAACGAUAAUCGAAGUGUAUGUAGCCAUCUUCAGUAGUAUAGUUAAAUGUAGCAUUUGGGUUGGUCACAAGACAUUUUGCUUGCUGUGUAGACGUGUCAAAAAAUCCAGCAGAUAAUAAAAAGAAGUCAAAUUA
Molecule: RNA transcript, 3073 nt
Organism: Triplophysa dalaica
Lineage: Eukaryota; Metazoa; Chordata; Actinopteri; Cypriniformes; Nemacheilidae
Gene: adrb3a
Gene name: adrenoceptor beta 3a
Exons: 3
Source: RefSeq, a predicted model, not a curated record